AUGAAAUAUGAAGUUUUAUUAAAAGAAAAAGGGGUGAAAAGAACAAAGUUUUGUCCAUCUUUGUUCAUCAUAGCUGAAAGUUAGAGAAGAGAAAGGAGAGGAGAAAGCUCUUGAGUAUUCGGUCAUUAGGAGGAGGAAAAUUGAAGUUAAGGUUUCAACACCCAUCAUCACCGGCGAUUCACCGUGCCGAACGGAAAGGGGAGCGGCCACGUGGUAGAUCCGGGCAUGGGCAUGGACAAUGGGGUGUGUGAUGGUGCUGGCGGCAGACAGCAUGGGAGAGUGGGAAUGGUGCUGGUGGCAGACAGCAUGGGAGAGUGGGAAGAGGCAAGUGGGAGUCUAGGGUUUUGGAAUUGGGCUUGGAUGUUGGGCUAGGUUAAUUUUAGGUUUUGGGUUUGAGGAUGGGUUAAAUGGUUUAAUGGGCCUGGGUAUUUUGUAAACGGGCCAAAAUUGGCCUACAACA
Gossypium arboreum is the source of this 460-nucleotide long non-coding RNA. RefSeq lists it as uncharacterized. The record is from RefSeq and is a predicted model, not a curated record. NCBI's taxonomy places the organism in Eukaryota, Viridiplantae, Streptophyta, Magnoliopsida, Malvales, Malvaceae. The transcript is spliced from 3 exons.